Molecule: ribosomal RNA, 248 nt
Filed under: uncultured bacterium
Lineage: Bacteria
Description: partial 16S ribosomal RNA
Rfam family: Bacterial small subunit ribosomal RNA
Source: RNAcentral
ACAGCGGCGAACGGGUGAGUAACACGUGAGUAAUCAACCCUCGGUACCGGGAUAGCCCGGGGAAACUCGGAUUAAUACCGGAUGGCCCAUCCGCUUUUCGGAGCGGUUGGAAAAGGUAGCUUCGGCCUCCGACCGGGGACGAGCUCGCGGCGGAUUAGCUUGUUGGCGGGGUAACGGCCCACCAAGGCGACGAUCCGUAGCUGGUCCGAGAGGACGAUCAGCCACACUGGGACUGAGACACGGCCCAG